This 838-nucleotide unclassified non-coding RNA is filed under the name Hevea brasiliensis (rubber tree). The record is from RNAcentral. Lineage: Eukaryota; Viridiplantae; Streptophyta; Magnoliopsida; Malpighiales; Euphorbiaceae.
CACAAAACUAGCUAUACCAAAUGGCAAUAAAAAUAAUUAGGAUCAUAAGAUGUCAUUUUUGUGGGGAGAAAAUGUAAACUAAACCUGAUUGCAGGGGUAAUAAUUAGAAAUGCAGAAAAACAUGGGGAUCAAAAACCAAACACCCUAGUAGACAAGGACACCAGUCUAUAACUUCCAUUCAGAUUUGUAGUGGUUUGAAUUUUAUAAGUUAAAAAUUUAUUUGGUCAGGUAAAUGACCUGUCCAUUUUGUAGGUUUUUUUUAAUUCAAAUUGGAGUAUUAUACUAUGCUUACCUGGUUUGAAGGCUUUAAAUUUAUAAGUAUAGCUCAUGUGUCAAAUAAUUGAGAAGGAAAUGAGUUCAUGUAUUGCGUCAGCCAGGCCCCAAUUCUUUGAAAUGUAUUUUUUUGGAUUGCUCGCCAUCACGGCAUCACCAUUGCAAAACAAUACUCAAAUGCAUUUCUUGUUUUCUUCCUUUCUAAAGCAGUCAAAAGUCAAAAGUCAAAACAGAACAAAUAAUAAAGCCUGUGAAUGCUCGCAUAGAAACGGUACUGUUUAUUAUUGUCCAUGGUGCCUGAUGGAACAAUUUAUAUUAUGAUUAUUGGGGUUUGUGAAAUUUUGAAGCCAUCUUUGGUUGAUUAGAAAAAUAUUUAGAGAUUAAUAUUAGCGGAACAGUUCCAAUUAGGUUCAGGGAACUUUGCCAAAAAGAUUCUAACUUGUGUAGGUAUCUUUACAAAAACACUGAAAGAGUAGCCCAAGUUGCCUCAAAACCAAAACUGGGCUAGCUUAUCGAUCCCAUGUUUAGGGCCACAGGUAAAUACUGUUGAGGUUUAACUCAUUUG